RNAcentral lists this long non-coding RNA (979 nucleotides) under Actinidia chinensis (golden kiwifruit). Its description in RNAcentral is "long non-coding RNA (ACHI_LNC001773)". The record is from RNAcentral. Lineage: Eukaryota; Viridiplantae; Streptophyta; Magnoliopsida; Ericales; Actinidiaceae.
GAGAGAGGAAGUGAAGAGAGGGAAACCACGUAAACGAAUUUGGUCCGUGUAUGCGUUGAAGGAGACAGGGAAGAACACGAUAUGUUCUUCCCCAGUCUAUUGAAUUUCUUUUAGUAUCCGCAAAUCUCUCUUUCUCUUUCGAACUUUCUCGCUCUGUAAAUGACGAGCGAGGCUUCCUCAUCGGGAUUGAGCUUGGGGAAGGUCUCGAAGAUGUCGAAGAAUUCGUCGGAGUGAGUUGUUCGCUGCAACUUUCUUCCGCUGUUUGGGUUGCUGAGAAAAUGCAGUUGAACAUAUUUCUAGAAAUAGAGCAACGAUUAAUGACGAUUCCUUUUUUAUAUUUCGAUUAAGGAUGAUCAUGAGAACAAUUAAGUGGUAUUAAAUGAAAUACGGUAGAUUAUUUGCAACAAUUUUCAAUUUAUAUCAGGGGUCCUCCUCUGUGUGUGUGUGUGUAAAUGAUGAGCGAGGCUUCGUCAUCGGGAUUGAGCUUGGAAGGUCUCGAAGAUGUCGAAGAAUUCGUCGGAGUGAGUUUUCGCUGCAACUUUCUUUCCGCUGUUUGGUUGCUGAGAAAAUGCAGUUGAACAUAUUUCUAGAAAUAGAGCAACGAAUUAUGACGAUUCCUUUUUUAUAUUUCGAUUAAGGAUGAUCAUGAAGAACAAAUUAAGUGGUAGGUAAAUGAAAUACGGUAGAUUAUUUGCACAAUUUCAAUUUAUCAGGGGUCUCUCUGUGUGUGUGUGUGUAAAUGAUGAGCGAGGCUUCGUCAUAAGGAUUGAGCUUGGAAGGGCUCGAAGAUGUCGAAGAAGUCGGAGUGAGUUUUCGCUGCAACUUUCUUUCCGUUGUUUGGUUGCUGAGAAAAUGUAGUUGAACAUAUUUCUAGAGAGAAAGCAACAAAUUAGGACGGUUUUUUUAUAUUUCGAUUGGAUGAUCAUGAAGAACAAAUUAAGUGGUAGGUAAAUGAAAAUACGGUAGAUUAUUUGCACAA